Long non-coding RNA from Sander lucioperca (pikeperch), 1678 nucleotides. RefSeq lists it as uncharacterized. Lineage: Eukaryota; Metazoa; Chordata; Actinopteri; Perciformes; Percidae. The transcript is spliced from 3 exons. The record is from RefSeq and is a predicted model, not a curated record.
CUUGUGUGUGUGUGUGUGUGCGCGUGUGUGUGUGUGUGAUCCAGGGAGAAUCAUGGCGUAUUGAAAACCUGUGUUGUACUGACCCCUGAGGAGAAAUCAUAAGAGAAGGCUCAACAUUCUGAUGCUUCUCCUCUUCAACACCCGUCUCCUCCUCUUCCUCUCCGUUUUAGGAAAGUGUUUGUCAUUCUCUGAGUAUCUUUGUAUAUUGUGGCAUGACACAGAAGUAAAGUUGUGUAGGGCUUUGUGGAGCUGUAGAAAUGGGGAGGACGCCCGUGCGCAGGGCCUCUGUGAGCCGGGCGGGGUUUGGUGGUGAUUAUCCAGGUCCUUGUUGAAUUGACUUAUUAACUUUGCCUAUUGCUUGUGUUGAACUAUAUUAGGUGUUUGACUUGCGUAGGGAUAGUUAGUUUUUUUUUGUUGCGGGUGGUGACUCCUAUCAUAAUGUAUUGUUUAAUACUUAUAUAACACACUAGUUAAAAGACUAAUUGUCCUGUAAAGAUGGAGGAGAAUUAAUAGAUAUUUGUCUGUGGGAUGACUCCCCACCUGCACCCCAUUCUUAUGCAAAUGUGUCCAUCAAAGAUGAUUUACGUUGUCAGACAGAAGUGCUCUUUGUUUCAGCCAUUCAACACUGUCGCAUUUACUUUUUCAUGCUGUUGAUGGUUGUUGUUUUCCAAAAUGGUGGGACCAAAAUCUAAUGUAUCUACAAGUUUAGUUUCAUAUAUAUACCCUCCAAAAAAACAAGGAAAUCCUCCUCAGACUGGGUUUGGUGAUAACCAGUUUUCACUGAGGUUAAGUGAGAAAAAAAAAAAAUAAUAAUAAUGUUCCUCAAAGUGUCAAACUCCAGAGUGGCAGUCUCGGAGUAGUUCAAAAUGAAAUUUGGGCACAGGUUUCUUAUUAUAAGUUUUGUUAUUCAGUUAAAAAGCUUCAGUUCUGGUUUAACCCUGGAGAGGUUCACACGCUUGUUUGCGCCCGUGCGGAGGAGGCGUUACCAGAGCCAUUGACAGUUUACUGUAAAAUUUCAUGAUGGUACACUGGCAUGUGUUUUCAGCGCAGGCUUGAAGCUUGAUGCAUGUUUGUAACACGCAUUCAUUGCAUUUCAGUUUGUAUUAUGUGUUAUUUCUGGAAGUAAACCAAAAUCAGAAUCUUACUUUAUCACCAUUAAAAUGGGCUAUUUCUUCUUGUUUGGAGAGAAAUUGAUUCUAAUUAAAAAUGGAAUUAAUAAUCCCUUUAUAUUUUUUUUUAAACGAUAUGAGGUGUCUUGCCAGAGAGUUAACCUUCGUUUGAGAAUGAACAUAGGUUGGUAAAACUAGCAUGUCACAGUUUUUUCGACAUGGUAUAAAAAAUGUAUUUGUUGAACAGCCUAGUUAAAAUGUCUAUGUUGGUGUAGAUCUUAGGACUACAUGAUGUCACAGUCAUUUGUCAUUUGCAACAACAAAAAACAAACCACUGUCCAGCCUGGGUCAUCUGGAUUUAUCAAUGUAUUAUGUCAUUUUUUUUUUUUUUAUUAUUUGAGACACAUAUAUUUGAUGCCUAUAAUUUGUUUUAAUGUUUUUUAUUUUUGUCUUUUAAGCCCUAUCUCCAAGAUACAAGCUGAGAUAUCCCUGACUUUUUAAAGCAAAAAAAAUUAAUAAAUGUGCUUCCCUUGUAACUUGAAGAAAGAAAUAAACACAAAAAAAUAAUA